GACGAACGCUGGCGGCGUGCUUAACACAUGCAAGUCGAACGCUGAAGCUUGGUGCUUGCACUGUGUGGAUGAGUGGCGAACGGGUGAGUAAUACGUGAGUAACCUGCCCUUGACUCUGGGAUAAGCCUGGGAAACUGGGUCUAAUACUGGAUACGACAUGUCACCGCAUGGUGGUGUGUGGAAAUGGUUUUACUGGUUUUGGAUGGGCUCACGGCCUAUCAGCUUGUUGGUGGGGUAAUGGCUCACCAAGGCGACGACGGGUAGCCGGCCUGAGAGGGUGACCGGCCACACUGGGACUGAGACACGGCCCAGACUCCUACGGGAGGCAGCAGUGGGGAAUAUUGCACAAUGGGCGGAAGCCUGAUGCAGCGACGCCGCGUGAGGGAUGACGGCCUUCGGGUUGUAAACCUCUUUCAGCACGGAAGAAGCGAAAGUGACGGUACGUGCAGAAGAAGCGCCGGCUAACUACGUG
This 472-nucleotide ribosomal RNA is filed under the name uncultured bacterium. RNAcentral's name for it is "partial 16S ribosomal RNA". It matches the Rfam family "Bacterial small subunit ribosomal RNA", at positions 28 to 507 of the family's 1533-position model. The record is from RNAcentral.